UGAUUUUAAAGUUUCAGUUAUUGCUUAUGGUAUGUGUGUAUAUAUAUAUAUACACACACACACAAUUUAAUUAUAAAAAAAUAAAUCUAGCUUUUCAUAGUUAUUACUUAACUGUUUUAAACAUAAGGUUUCCCUUGUGAUCAGAAUAGCUUCAACAGACUUACUCAAUGGAGGUUUAAAAUGAAAGAGAAGAAAUUAUUUCCUGCAUAUUUAUUUAUUUAUUUUUCCUCUUUAGGGCCACACCUGCAGCAUAUGAAAGUUCCUGGGCUAGGGGACAAAUGUGAGCUCUAGCUGCGGUGUACACCACAGCCAUGGCAACACCGGACCCAAGAAACAUCUGCAGCUUAUCUACGUUGCAUCUUUUGGCAAUGCUGCUGCAUCCCUUAAACCACUGAUCUAGGCCAGGAAUCCAACCCACAUCCUCAGAGAGAGACAAUGUCAGAUCAGGUCCUUAACCCACUGAGCCACCAUGGAAACUCCUAUUUCUUGCCUAUUUAGUUUGCUACUGGAAAAAAAUCAAAUAUUACAACAAUUCAAGCAAGUAGGUGAUGUUUAAUCUCAUUAUAUAGACACCGGUAGUACAAACAUUAGAACUGGAUUUGAAAGGGAAUCCAAACCUUUGAUUAUAGAAGUCCCCAGCAGUCUAGUGAUGCUACAGACAAUUCAGGAUUGAAAUCAAAUCACAUUUUUCAGCAUCUAAAAAAAUAUAUACAUAUAUAAUUUUUUAAUUACAAUUUUUU
This is a non-coding RNA of Sus scrofa (pig), 740 nucleotides long. NCBI's taxonomy places the organism in Eukaryota, Metazoa, Chordata, Mammalia, Artiodactyla, Suidae. The record is from RefSeq and is a predicted model, not a curated record.